RNAcentral lists this ribosomal RNA (436 nucleotides) under bacterium enrichment culture clone ALO1_GLFRUDD03FJLPO. Its description in RNAcentral is "bacterial SSU rRNA". It matches the Rfam family "Bacterial small subunit ribosomal RNA", at positions 9 to 490 of the family's 1533-position model. The record is from RNAcentral.
GAGUUUGAUCUUGGCUCAGAGCGAACGCUGGCGGCAUGCUUAACACAUGCAAGUCGCACGGUCAGCAAUGGCAGUGGCGGACGGGGUGAGUAACACGUAGGAAUCUAUCUCUGGGUGGGGGACAACAGUGGGAAACUACUGCUAAUACCGCAUGAUACCUGAGGGUCAAAGGCGUAAGUCGCCUGGAGAGGAGCCUGCGUCUGAUUAGCUUGUUGGUGGGGUGAAGGCCUACCAAGGCUACGAUCAGUAGCUGGUCUGAGAGGAUGAUCAGCCACAUUGGGACUGAGACACGGCCCAAACUCCUACGGGAGGCAGCAGUGGGGAAUAUUGGACAAUGGGCGAAAGCCUGAUCCAGCAAUGCCGCGUGUGUGAAGAAGGUCUUCGGAUUGUAAAGCACUUUUGGCAGGGACGAUGAUGACGGUACCUGCAGAAUAAG